UACGGAGGGAGCUAGCGUUGCUCGGAAUUACUGGGCGUAAAGCGCACGUAGGCGGUCUUUUAAGUCGGGGGUGAAAUCCUGGAGCUCAACUCCAGAACUGCCUUCGAUACUGGAAGACUCGAGUCCGAGAGAGGUGAGUGGAACUGCGAGUGUAGAGGUGAAAUUCGUAGAUAUUCGCAAGAACACCAGUGGCGAAGGCGGCUCACUGGCCCGGUACUGACGCUGAGGUGCGAAAGCGUGGGGAGCAAACAGG
This 253-nucleotide ribosomal RNA is filed under the name uncultured bacterium. RNAcentral's name for it is "partial 16S ribosomal RNA". It matches the Rfam family "Bacterial small subunit ribosomal RNA", at positions 524 to 776 of the family's 1533-position model. The record is from RNAcentral.